GUGAACGCUGGCGGUAGGCCUAACACAUGCAAGUCGAACGGCAGCACAGUAAGAGCUUGCUCUUACGGGUGGCGAGUGGCGGACGGGUGAGGAAUACAUCGGAAUCUACUUUUUCGUGGGGGAUAACGUAGGGAAACUUACGCUAAUACCGCAUACGACCUACGGGUGAAAGCAGGGGAUCUUCGGACCUUGCGCGAUUGAAUGAGCCGAUGUCGGAUUAGCUAGUUGGCGGGGUAAAGGCCCACCAAGGCGACGAUCCGUAGCUGGUCUGAGAGGAUGAUCAGCCACACUGGAACUGAGACACGGUCCAGACUCCUACGGGAGGCAGCAGUGGGGAAUAUUGGACAAUGGGCGCAAGCCCGAUCCAGCCAUACCGCGUGGGUGAAGAAGGCCUUCGGGUUGUAAAGCCCUUUUGUUGGGAAAGAAAAGCAGCAGGUUAAUACCCCGCUGUUCUGACGGUACCCAAAGAAUAAGCACCGGCUAACUUCGUG
Molecule: ribosomal RNA, 491 nt
Filed under: uncultured bacterium
Lineage: Bacteria
Description: partial 16S ribosomal RNA
Rfam family: Bacterial small subunit ribosomal RNA
Source: RNAcentral